This 362-nucleotide ribosomal RNA is filed under the name uncultured bacterium. Its description in RNAcentral is "bacterial SSU rRNA". It matches the Rfam family "Bacterial small subunit ribosomal RNA", at positions 28 to 377 of the family's 1533-position model. The record is from RNAcentral.
GAUGAACGCUGGCGGCGUGCCUAAUACAUGCAAGUCGAACGCACAGCGAAAGGUGCUUGCACCUUUCAAGUGAGUGGCGAACGGGUGAGUAACACGUGGAUAACCUACCUCAAGGUUGGGGAUAACAUUUGGAAACAGAUGCUAAUACCGAAUAAAACUUAGUAUCGCAUGAUACCAGGUUAAAAGGCGCUACGGCGUCACCUAGAGAUGGAUCCGCGGUGCAUUAGUUAGUUGGUGGGUAAAGGCUUACCAAGACAAUGAUGCAUAGCCGAGUUGAGAGACUGAUACGGCCACAAUUGGGACUGAGACACGGCCCAAACUCCUACGGGAGGCUGCCAGUAGGGAAUCUUCCACAAUGGGCG